RNAcentral lists this ribosomal RNA (257 nucleotides) under uncultured bacterium. Its description in RNAcentral is "partial 16S ribosomal RNA". It matches the Rfam family "Bacterial small subunit ribosomal RNA", at positions 8 to 248 of the family's 1533-position model. The record is from RNAcentral.
AGAGUUUGAUCCUGGCUCAGAACGAACGUUGGCGGCGUGGAUUAGGCAUGCAAGUCGAGCGAGAAAAUCACCUUCGGGUGGUGAGUACAGCGGCGAACGGGUGAGUAACGCGUGGGAAACCUGCCCUCAGGUGGGGAAUAACACUCCUAACGGGGUGCUAAUACCGCAUGUGGCAACUGGAUCGCAUGUUCCGGUUGUCAAAGGUGGCCUCUGUUUCAAGCUGCCGCCCGAGGAUGGUCCCGCGUCCGAUUAGCUUG